This 229-nucleotide ribosomal RNA is filed under the name uncultured bacterium. RNAcentral's name for it is "partial 16S ribosomal RNA". It matches the Rfam family "Bacterial small subunit ribosomal RNA", at positions 111 to 334 of the family's 1533-position model. The record is from RNAcentral.
UAACACGUGGGUAACCUGCCCCGAUGACCGGGACAACCCGAGGAAACUCGGGCUAAUACCGGAUGUGGUGUACACACAUAAGUGUGUCCAUCAAAGGAAGCUUCGGCCUCCACAUCGGGUUGGGCCCGCGGCCCAUUAGCUUGUUGGUGAGGUAACGGCUCACCAAGGCGACGAUGGGUAGCUGGUCUGAGAGGACGAUCAGCCACACUGGGACUGAGACACGGCCCAG